UUUCAUGAGUCAACUAGACCUAGAAAAAUUCUUUAAAGAAAAUAACAAAGCCAAUCUACCUAGCAUAUUCUCACUUGCAAAGAAAAAAGUCUACCAAAAAUAUUUAAUGUUUCAUUAACUGUAUGAAGCAAAAUCAUUAAAAUAAUACAAGAGUUAAACACAACAAAUCAA
Molecule: long non-coding RNA, 171 nt
Organism: Perognathus longimembris pacificus (Pacific pocket mouse)
Lineage: Eukaryota; Metazoa; Chordata; Mammalia; Rodentia; Heteromyidae
Exons: 3
Source: RefSeq, a predicted model, not a curated record